CCUGACUGCUAUCGGAUUGAUACUAAGCCAUGCGAGUCAUUGUAGUAAUACAAGGCAGACGGCUCAGUAACGCGUAGUCAACCUACCCUAUGGACGGGGAUAACCCCGGGAAACUGAGAAUAAUACCAGAUAGAACAUUAUGCCUGGAAUGGUUUAUGUUUCAAAUAAUUUAUUGCCGUAGGAUGGGACUGCGGCCUAUCAGUUUGUUGGUGAGGUAAUGGCCCACCAAGACUAUUACAGGUACGGGCUCUGAGAGGAGUAGCCCGGAGAUGGGUACUGAGACACGGACCCAGGCCCUAUGGGGCGCAGCAGGCGAGAAAACUUUGCAAUGUGCGAAAGCACGACAAGGUUAAUCCGAGUGGUUUCUGCUAAAGGAACCUUUUGUCAGUCCUAGAAACACUGAUGAAUAAGGGGUGGGCAAGUUCUGGUGUCAGCCGCCGCGGUAAAACCAGCACCUCAAGUGGUCAGGAUGAUUAUUGGGCCUAAAGCAUCCGUAGCCUGCUUUGUUAGUUUUCGGUUAAAUCCAUAUGCUCAACGUAUGGGCCGCCGGGAAUACUGCAAAGCUAGGGAGUGGGAGAGGUAGACGGUACUCGGUAGGAAGGGGUAAAGUCCUUUGAUCUAUUGAUGACCACCUGUGGCGAAGGCGGUCUACCAGAACACGUCCGACGGUGAGGGAUGAAAGCUGGGGGAGCAAACCGGAUUAGAUACCCGGGUAGUCCCAGCUGUAAACUAUGCAAACUCAGUGAUGCAUUGGCUUGAUGCCAAUGCAGUGCUGCAGGGAAGCCGUUAAGUUUGCCGCCUGGGAAGUACGUACGCAAGUAUGAAACUUAAAGGAAUUGGCGGGGGAGCACCACAAAGGGGUGAAGCCUGCGGUUC
This 876-nucleotide ribosomal RNA is filed under the name uncultured marine group I thaumarchaeote. RNAcentral describes it as "bacterial SSU rRNA". It matches the Rfam family "Archaeal small subunit ribosomal RNA", at positions 21 to 903 of the family's 1478-position model. Lineage: Archaea; Thermoproteati; Nitrososphaerota. The record is from RNAcentral.